This is a non-coding RNA of Pelodiscus sinensis (Chinese soft-shelled turtle), 889 nucleotides long. NCBI's taxonomy places the organism in Eukaryota, Metazoa, Chordata, Testudines, Trionychidae. The record is from RefSeq and is a predicted model, not a curated record.
UUGUGGGUAAAAUGCUUUCACCAUGAUAUGUGGCAGUCACGUGAUUUGUCACAUGAUAUGUCACAUGAUUUUGAUUGGAAAAUUGACUUCCUUGCAUCUUGGCUUCAACAGACCCAAAAGGAAAUGUUCAAAAACCUCCAAAGGAGAAUCCAAGCAAAUAGGUACUUUGCAGUGGUUUAAGUUUUACCCUUCUACUGUGCAGAGCUGACCACUUUUCCUUGCUUCCUAGCAGAAUUCCCUGCUUCAGCUCUGGAGAAAAUGGGCCGCAACAAAGUGGAUGAUACCUGUUCCUGGAAGAAACAGAUCAACAAUAUCCGAAAAACAUUCAUCAUCAUGGAGGCACUGGGAUUGUAAUUACUGGUACCAUGGCUAAUCUCUGGCCUCCCCCAAUUGUGUUGCUAAGCUUUCAUUUACCAAGAGUGCAAAGGCCAACUGUCUGUCUGCCAAAAUGCUAAGGAAGACCAGAAUCAUCAUACCCAUGUGGCUAGAUCAGGAUUCUGUUAGAAAGACUGUGUGUAUGAAUGAGAUACGGUGUGAAGGUCAUUGAAGACAAACGUAAAAGACAGACUGCAAAGAGACAUAUCAGCGUCAGAGAAACCAUCAGUGUGUAUCCAUGGUCAAGAAUUGAUCAGAUUGGCAAAUUGAUGGCUCUAAAGGUGAAGGCAUGCCUAAAAACAACUGAUUAAUAACCAAGGAGAGGAUGAGCCUUUCGAGAUGUUUUGGGAAUGAGUAACAUCAACAAGAUAACAUGCCGGUCACAGACUGACACAGCAGAAUCUAUAGACUUCAACAGAGAAAAGGAUUAUAAAAGCAGGGUGCUUUGCUAUGGAACUUUGGGUUCAUCUUGCCACUAACUCCAAGAGCAUCAGAUCGAUUGACAGACACAGCC